AACGCACAUUGCGCCCGCCAGCAUUCUGGCGGGCAUGCCUGUCCGAGCGUCAUUUCAACCCUCAGGGUCCCUCCGCCUCGCGCGGUCGGAGCCUGGUGUUGGGGAUCGGCCCGCCCCGCGCGGCGCCGUCCCCCAAAUACAGUGGCGGUCCCGCCGCAGCCUCCCCUGCGCAGUAGUUAUCAACUCGCACUGGAGCGCGGCGCGGCCACGCCGUAAAACCCCCGACUUUCUGAACGUUGACCUCGGAUCAGGUAGGAAUACCCGCUGAACUUAA
Molecule: unclassified non-coding RNA, 274 nt
Filed under: uncultured Striatibotrys
Lineage: Eukaryota; Fungi; Ascomycota; Sordariomycetes; Hypocreales; Stachybotryaceae
Description: sequence contains ITS2
Source: RNAcentral